ACUUAAUAACUUUGUGAAGAGGUGAUCUGGGUAAAACCAGGUCAAUUUAAACUUAUGUGAAAACCACAUAACUAAGUAAUUGGUUGAUAAAUCAAUCUAAAUUUUCAACGAUGGAUGUCUUGGUUCCCAUAACGAUGAAGAACGCAGCAAGAAUGCGAUAUGCAAUGUGAAUUGCAGAACUACGAAUCAUUUGAUCUUUGAACGCAAAUGGCACUGAGCUAUCUCAGUAUACUUGUUUCAGUGUGCCUAACCAAAUUAAAACUAAAUGUGAGAGAAAAUUCUCUCAUCAAAUAAAUGCUCCAAGUAGCAGUCACAUUUUUAUGUGAGCUAUUUUGCGAGGAAACUGACUUAUUUGCACCUGAAAUCAAGUAAGAUCACCCGCUGGACUUAAGCAUAUUACUAAGCGGAGGAAAAGAAAUUAACUAAGAUUGCCUUAGUAAGGGCGACUGAACCGGCAAAAGCUCAAAAUUAAAAUCGAAAAUUCAAAGAAUUUUCGAAUUGUAAUCAGGGUACCUAAAAUACAAAAAGUCACUCAAGAGUAUUGAACGACUCGCCAAAGAGGGUAAUAGCCCCGUGCAGUGAUUUUUUGAACAUAGGAACUCGAACAAGAGUCGUGUUGCUUGGAACUGCAGCACUAAGUGGGAGAUAUGAUUCUUCCAAAGCUAAAUAUCGAUGGGAGACCGAUAGCGAACAAGUACUGUGAAGGAAAGAUGAAAAGGACUUUGAAAAGAGAGUGAAAAGAUCUGAAAUCGUUGAGAAAGGAAGCUGUUAAAACUGAUCGAGGCCAUGAUGGUACAAUGCAACCAAAAAUUGCAAAGUAUCUACCAAAAGCCCUGGACAAAAUGAAACUAAUUGGAUCAAAAAAGGUUCAAACCGAAUAAGAUCUAAUUAGUUUAAGGGACUACGGUGAUUUUGUCUAAAAGGUUUAACCGACCCG
Molecule: ribosomal RNA, 937 nt
Filed under: Dileptus costaricanus
Lineage: Eukaryota; Ciliophora; Litostomatea; Haptorida; Dileptidae
Description: eukaryotic LSU rRNA
Rfam family: Eukaryotic large subunit ribosomal RNA (bases 355-937)
Source: RNAcentral